AACGAACGCUGGCGGCGUGCUUAACACAUGCAAGUCGAACGGAAAGGCCCUGCUUUUGUGUUGUGCUCGAGUGGCGAACGGGUGUGUAACGCGGGAGUAACCUGCCCUUGACGUUGGUAUAACUUCAGGAAACUGGGGCUAAUAGCGGAUAGGAGCUCCUGCUACAUGGGGGGGGUGGGAAAGUUUCGGCGGUUGGGGAUAGACUCGCGGCUGAUCAGCUUUUUGGGGGGGUAGUGGCUUACCAACGCUUUGAGGGGUAGCGCGCAUGGGAGGGUGGCCGGCGCCCUUGCGACUGCGAUACGGACCAGAUUCGUAUAGGAGGCAGUGGUGGGAAAUAUUGCAGAAUGGGCGGAAGCCGGAUGAAGAAACGCAGAGGGCGGGAUGACCGUUUACGGGUUGUAAACAGGUUUCGCAUGUGACGAAGCGUCAGUGACGGUAAUGGGUAAAGAAGCACCGGCUAACUACGUG
This 468-nucleotide ribosomal RNA is filed under the name uncultured bacterium. Its description in RNAcentral is "partial 16S ribosomal RNA". It matches the Rfam family "Bacterial small subunit ribosomal RNA", at positions 28 to 507 of the family's 1533-position model. The record is from RNAcentral.